AUUGCUCAUCUUCCUGUUAGGCUAUUUAGUUGGGAUGUGUGUUCUGGUGUUGAAAAUGAGAUGCCUCUGUUCCACAGGAGCAUUAAUAUAAUCAUUUGAGGGGAAAACAGUUAUCUUUUGACCUAUAAAGACUCAACAGUGUAUUUUGAUGACUACUUACAAUAAACACAUUUUGUAUUGAGGGAACCACUGAUGUUUCACUUAGAUGUGAGUAAAUGACUUGUACUCCAACAUUGUGUGAAUGCAGAACAGUUGAGAGUUUAUAACUUUUUGAUGUACCAGCAAUACACUUUUGUUGAGCAAGUUUGUCUUGUGUUUCUUAUUCUUGUUAAUUAUGUGGGGUAGAUGGUUCUAGAAAGUGCAGUGGUAGGGGGUAGUGGUUAUUCACAAGAUUCUACACUGUUGAGGGUUGAUUGUAGUACACCUGAGAGCAUUAGUACACCAAAGUGAAGUGCAAUCUGGAAGAGUUUUUUUUCUGACAAUUACAUUAGUGUUGAGUAGAGUUGACACUAUUCAUUUUUAACUCUAUAUAGUGUUAAAAUAGACAUGGAUAAAUGUUAAACAGUUAACACUUUGAAAAGUGUUGAUUUAACAUUCAAAAAGUGGACACACAAAUAUGGCUAUUACUUAUUACUGAAAUGUCUGUGCUUUAUCAAAGUCAACAGGAUCUAUUUUUUCACAGGAAAGAUUGGAGAUGUGUGAUAUGUUGAUAAUUAUUGGCUGAUUAAUAAAAAGAAAUUGCAGUCUAAGUCUAGAACUGAUUUUUGUUUAAUUUUGCAAAGUCAUUUUUUGAAAUAGUUUCGACUGGCCUUCAAGCUAAUUUUUCUUAUUUUCCUGAAUUAUUUUAAAGUAGCUUUUGAACACCACACAGUGGGCCCAAAGUCAUCCUCUGAAACAAAGUUUUACAGUGAGACCAAAGGGGCAUUCAAAGGAUCAUUUAGGCGCAUGUCUUUGCAUUCGAGCCUGUGUGCUGUGACUCCCGGUCCAUCUUUUGUCUGACUUUGGUCCUCUUCUGAGCCAAACCUCUCAAUCCACCAGUAGACAUUUAUUACAAAUUCAAAUCGCCACACCAGCUAGAAGCUAAAAGUAAAGGAUUUUCUUAGUACUUGGUGUACUUCAUAUAAAUUCAAGCCUGUCAUUGUUACUUUCAAGGCAAGAGUAAUUACGAAGAUCUCAAGGGAGUUAAAGUUAUUACCAUACUAAACAGGUCAUAACAUCUUAUCAUACAGUUAUAACGGGCAAAAGUUAAUUUUUCCCUUUUUUUUUUUUUUUUUUUUGGUACUUCAGCUGUUAUUUCUCUAAAAUUACUUUGUAAUUACACUGGCACAAAGGAACAAAGUUUUUUUCUUAGGGUUCUCUUUUAUUCACUCAAAAGGCACCAAAAGGUUGUGAGCUGUUGAUGAUAGUAGCAUGUAUCUCCUGGCUGCUGUUGCUGUUGGCUGUUAUCUGCUCACCAUGACUUACACAACAACAUUGACCACCACUGAGCAAAGACCAUCUGCAGCCUGAUACCACAGACAAACAACAGAGCUCCCCUCAGGAGGAACAGCAGGCCCUGAGCCCUCUCGCUGUUUCAUCUUGAUUAGCAUUUAAUUUGGGGUUUUUCCAGGGAAGCUGUUGAAGGCAGAGAAUCAAAUAGUACUUCUAUAAAAAACAAACAGAUAUCAUGCCAUGUCUUAAGGUCAAAUGCAUAAAACAACUCAGAAUGGCUUUUUUAUUUCCAGCUUUUACACAACAAGAGCUCUUACACAUGUAUCUAUCUGUCAGAUAUUUAAGUCUAUUCUUUAAAGUGACUUCAGGUGAAUAAUGUUAGGCAGUCACACCUCAAGUGAAGCAUAAGACCUGAAACUGACCUUUACAGCUGAUGAGACCAGCUUGGAUCUCAAAAUGCACCUACUCUGUAUGUGGUCCCUUCAGUGAUUGUUCUUUAGUGUGUGUGUGUGUGUGUGUGUGUGUGUGUGUGUGUGUGUGUGUGUGUGUGUGUGUGUGUGUGUGUGUGUGUGUGUGUGUGUGUGUGUGUGUGUGUGCGCGCGCGCGUCAAACCUGCCAGCAGGAACAUUGAGUGAUUUGAUUCAAAGAGACUUUGAGGAUUAAAAAACCCACAUGUUGCCAGCAGCGACAGAUUGGGACUCUGACUGAGAACAAGUGUGUGUGUGUGUGUGUGACAGAGGCUGUGUGUGUUCAGUGCUCUCACACUCACUGCAGCACAACUACAAAAGCAAAGAAACAUAACAACAGCGAUACUUGCAAGUCUUUCUUUGUAUUGAUUUAUGACCAUGCGAGGUCUUAUUAGAAUGAUGAAUGAUGAUACAUGUUCUUCAGUGCAUAAUGCAAGUGCACAAGAAUCAGGGUGUCCCAAUAGGCCUACAACUUUUUUACUUCCGAUACGAAACUGAUAUAGUAGCCUUCAGGAUUGGCUGAUACUGGUAUUGAUCUAAUCUUGGCACAAAUUUAUGCAUGAAAAGUUUUGCACUCAGCUGCAAUGUCUUUUUUGGAAUUAGUCAAAAAACACUGCUGUACAGCUGAUAUCACCCCUACUCUGUGCUACUUUGUUAGUACCCCAGUACACAAGACACAGUUUUACGGAACUUCUCAGUUAAACAAGUCUCACUUUCUGAAUUCUUCUUUCAAGCACCAGGAAAAUACAUCUGCAUUUCUGACCUUCUUUCAGUGUGAGACCAACACUGUAUUGUUGGUCGUGCCAUUGCCUCUUUUGAAACUUGAAAGCCUAUCUUGGCAUGUUAGAAUAAAGUCAUAACUACUGACUGUGUGCUCUGCAUCAUGGUCUUGCUUUGAUAUAUAUAUAUAUAUUUAUAGAUGAUAGAUAGAUAGAUAUUCUGUUUGAUAUGUUCUGAUGUUUGAAGCCUUUUCAGCAGUUUGCCGAAUGUUUUAAGUGAUUUGUGACUGUGAGAGUGUGUCCACACAGAGAGACCAAGACAAAUACCUCAUAAUCACACAAUGUUGUUUUCUAAGUACUGUACAUGUUAUCUCCAAUUACCUUACACUUUGAGAACAUACUAAACUCAGUUGGACUACUUUUAAAUUCAGAAAACUAUAACAAGCACAAAUGGAGGAUACUGUACAGACUGAAAAACCCCUGGGCAAGGAAUCAAUCUGUGAUAUACUCUCCCUGAGAGACAGAAUGUUAUUGAGCGUGUUUGCCAGGCAGAAAUGUACUAUAAGAAACACAGUGGGGGUUGGAGAAACACAUCACAAUGAGUACAAGAAUACUGCUCGCAGUGAAAAUGUUCGACAGGCUGCAGAGGCUUACACCUACUGAUGCUGCUUUUUAAUAGAUCCCUAAUUUAUCAUAGAAAAGCAAAAUCAUAUAAUUAACUUAUAAUACACAUCUUAUGAUCAUUAAGCAUCAAACAUAUAUGUAUCCAGAGCAAAGGCACUCAUUCAUUAAAAGCUCACAGCCCCAACCAGCUUCUUCUCUAUAUUUCAACCAAUUGGGAAAGAAGAAGGGCAAGAAAAACUUUGUACAGGGCUCAUCAUACAGAGUUUACACUGGUUUUGAAGUAAAGUUGUUCAGUCUUCAAUUUAGGAACAAAAAGCCUGUAACUACCUGAGAUUAGGGAGUAAACCAAAAGGAUCACUGCUUUCCCCAAAGUGUUAUGAGUACAAAGUUGCAGGAAAUCCCUUUCAAAUUGAAAUGAAAUGCAUCUGGAAAGAAACAGAAAACAGACACUGAUUUAAGUUUGAAACAACCAAUCCAAACAAGAAAUGCAUAAACUGUAAAUAAAAGUCACCAAAACUAAAAUAUCACGCCUUUAGUAAUCAAUGUUGAAUGAAAAUCACAGAAAACGCCACAUACAAAUAAUUAAGCUACUAAAAAAACAUUGAUUUUUACCAGUGAUGUCUGGACUUUUCUUUUUACGCACGCACGCAUGCUGAGAGCUGUGUACCACAGCCCUCUACAGGGAUCAUGAAACAAAGAGCUCUCUUGACCUGGGGCCUUAUGUAUCAACGUUUGCGGAGCAAGAAAACCUUGCGUACGCCAAAAUCGGUGCACACGUCCAGAUUUAUCAUCGCGAAAUGAGCGUCGGUUCCAGCGCUAAUCAACGCAAAGUCAGGAGGUGGUGUAGAAAUUGGCGGUGAGCAGAUACUUGCGUUGACUGUGAUUCGCACUUUGGCGACGCUGUGUGGCAGUGUUUGGUGACUCACUAUGUGACAAGCGUGCACCACAUCCCCGUGGCUGAGCAGCACGUCGCCCCACAUGACGAACCAGCAGCAGACGGAGGGAUGCGAGCUGAUCCCUGCCGGGCUGCCAUCCUCGCGCGGGAGAAUCUCAUCGCCACAGUGUGAAUGGGUAAGAAGUGAAUACACAGUUCAAUGAGCCAAAUUAAUUUAUUUUCUCCACCAGACGCUCGAGGACAUUUACGAGCCGGUCCAGCCGCUCGUUGAUCCCCGCGAUCCCCCUGAUGAUUUCUUCCUGCGAUUGCAGGACCCCCUCCGCGAGGACCCUUCCACUGCGUCCGGGUGGUCCAGCGGAAGCGCCGCGGCUGGUGGACGCUCCACCGCUUGCCGGCGUGCUGGUGCUGAUGCUGGUGCUGGGGCCGGGGUGGCCCGAAUGCCGCUGGUCCUGGCCGACGACUCCGAGCCGGCGGACGGGCUGCCGCGGGCCGGGGUUCCGCAAGCCGUCGACACGGCCGACGCAUUGAUUUCUGUGACACAAUAAAAAUAUUUGUUCAUUUCAAUUCCUGCUUCUGUGUAUCUGUUGCGUUUACAUCUCUCCAUGGUAUCAUAGGUAAUGUAAUCCAGUAUUUAGAGGUCAGUUAUGCACAUUACAGUUGUUUAUUGCAUAAAAAGUUAUCGAAAAAGGAAGUUAAGGGCGAAGUAUAAAUCACGUCUAAAAAUAGACUGAAUCCCGACGUUGAAAUGAAGUAUAAACUUAGACUAGACGUCUAAUAUACGCCUUUUGCUCAGUGGGAUGACAAAGCAUGUGGACAUUUGUGUGACACGCCACUUACCCUAUAAUAAUAAUCGCCACCACCCGCUGCUCAAACGGUGUGAGGGUCUCCUCCCCCGGACCCCCCACCUGUCUGGCUGGUAGGGCAGCUGUACGCCGCUUGACCUCCACCUUGAGGUCCGACCACUUUUUUGUAAUCUUCGCGGGGGUGCGUGUCUCGGAACCCACCGCAUUCACCCUCUCGCAAACUUUCUCCCACUCCAAGCGUUUUCGUUUUGCACUGACGCCACUGGACAGGCUGCCAAACAAAACACGCUGUCGCUCCUCCACCUCCGCCACCAGCACCUCCACCUCGCACGCCGUAAAUUUAGUUUUUCUUGUCAUUUUGUCUGCGUGCGAGGACAGGGAGACCCUAUUUAAAUAAAUCUGCAUAUUUAUAGGAGGGCGUAACGGGGACGGGCCCAGUCACUCCGACAUCUGCGCUCAAUUCCACGCUGAUUGGGAUUUAUCAAGGAAACACACGUGGAUUUCGGCGCCCGCACACAUUGAUACAUACGGAUUUUUUUCAGCGUGACGGACCUUGCGUGCGCUCGUUUCUGGUAUGAGUUCCACGCAAGUAUUGAUACAUAAGGCCCCUGGUCUCCUAAUGAAGCUGGCAUGUCAGACCAGCUGCCGCAACUGGACAUACCUGCAGCCAAAACUAUUUUACUCUUACCCUGCACUGCCCAUUCCAACUCUGGACUAUAUUUCAGUUUUUUACAAUCAUCCUAACACAAAUUCUAAUACCUCUGACACAUUUCCAAAACUCUUCACACAGUUUGCACAACAUCAGCCUAUGAGGCUAAUAGAAUGAAAACAUUUCUUGUUUGUUUGACACAAGCUGCACACAGUGGACACAUUUACAAAAUGUUUUAACCUCUCUUACAAACAACCUCUACCAAGGCCAAAACAAUCGACUCUAACUCACAAAUUUACAAAUGUCUUUACUCAGUAUGUCAGAGCAGAUAACCUUGUGUUCUAAAUGUAACCAACAGGCUAAAGUUGAAGGGAGAAGCACUUCACUUUAAAGAUUCAAUGACUCUAAAUUAUCAUUGUCAUUGAAAAGCAGCUGAUGUAAAUUAGUCAAACAAUUGAAAUCACAGCUGAGUACAAUCACAGCUCAUACAUAAAAAGUUUGGUGUGGUGUGUUGGUUUGGGUCUGAAACUACAGGGCAAUAGAGAAUGGCAGAGCAAAGAAGAGUUGGCCAAGGGAGAGGAGUUGGUCAAGGGUGUGGAAAUGGUCAAGGACAAGAAAGAGGGAUUCCUGGAGGGAGAGGACCGAGAGGAGUGAGAAUGGCGGUGUUCAACGAAGGGCCAGGACUCGGGUCCCUGAUGAAAUUAGGGCAACCAUAGUUGACCAUGUCAUCAAUCAUGGCCUAUCAUGCAGAGAAGCUAGAGAAAGAGUUCAGCCUACUCUCAGCCAGGAUACUGUGGCAUCUUUUAUCCGGGUUUUUUGAGAAACCAACCAAUAAGAUACAUCAUAAAGAUAUCUUCUAUUGAUCUAUUUACAGUGUGGAAUUUUACAGUAACAUGUAUUGUACUAUGUGACUGUGUGCCUCUGAUCCUUAAUAUGUUACUUUGUUCCUCCUCUCUGUAAGGAUCCAAUGUCUGCCUCACUCUGGGGGCAGGGGAAGGCUCCUAACUAAACAGCAGGAGCUGGCCUUUGUGGCCAUGGUGGUGGCCAACAAUGAAGUCAAACUCAAGGCAGUUCAGGUGAGAGUUCCUGAGCCAUCAACCCAAUUAGCCUAACAUCCGAACAUCCUAACAUCCAAAUUCAAACGAUGCGCUUGAACUGAGAGGUUGCAACAAGUCUGGUCUCUCUGUAUUAUCUGUAAUUUUUCCUUAAUUUUUUUCCAUAUUUUUGUUGUCAUUUUGUUGGCUGCUGAUGGAUACUUCUGGUGGGUGAAGAGUUUACUCAAGAGAAGAGCUCCUUUAUUUGAGAAAAAGCAAAUCUGGACAACAACAUACAAUUCCAGAGGACAACAAAAGCGACGAACUGGAGAUAUUGGUGAAGACUGAGAAAGCAUACUGUGAGUGCAGUUUCCUGUGUUUUACUGAAACCUGUUGCAUUAAAACAACUCGGACUCCAGUGUGGAUCUACCCGGCCUCACUGUAAGGUCAGGCAGAGAUGCUCAAGCUAGUGGCAAGAAGAAAGGAGGAGGUCUGGCUUUAUUUGUCAACCAGAGAUGGUGUAACCCUUUACAUAUAACUGUCAAGGAGAAGUUGUGUUGUCCAAAUAUUGAACUGUUGGCAGUUGCUCUUUGGCCAUAUUAUGUUUCAAGAGAAUUCAGUCAUAUCAUGACAAUAGUUGUUCACAUCCCACCCAAAUCAACUGAAGAAAUUCCAUGCAAUCUUUUGCAUAAUAGUGUUACCAGGCUACAGACUCAACACCCGGAGGCACUGAUAAUAAUAUCAGGAGACUUCAACCAUGUCACCCUCUCCU
Molecule: non-coding RNA, 7394 nt
Organism: Xyrichtys novacula (pearly razorfish)
Lineage: Eukaryota; Metazoa; Chordata; Actinopteri; Labriformes; Labridae
Source: the annotation of a GenBank genome assembly